RNAcentral lists this ribosomal RNA (559 nucleotides) under uncultured bacterium. Its description in RNAcentral is "partial 16S ribosomal RNA". It matches the Rfam family "Bacterial small subunit ribosomal RNA", at positions 355 to 1375 of the family's 1533-position model. The record is from RNAcentral.
UGGGGAAUAUUGGACAAUGGGCGCAAGCCUGAUCCAGCCAUGCCGCGUGAGUGAUGAAGGCCUUAGGGUUGUAAAAGCUCUUUUGUCCGGGAAGAUAAUGACUGUACCGGAAGAAUAAGCCCCGGCUAACUUCGUGCCAGCAGCCGCGGUAAUACGAAGGGGGCUAGCGUUGCUCGGAAUCACUGGGCGUAAAGGGCGCGUAGGCGGACUCUUAAGUCGGGGGUGAAAGCCCAGGGCUCAACCCUGGAAUUGCCUUCGAUACUGGGAGUNUUGAGUUCGGAAGAGGUUGGUGGAACUGCGAGUGUAGAGGUGAAAUUCGUAGAUAUUCGCAAGAACACCGGUGGCGAAGGCGGCCAACUGGUCCGAUACUGACGCUGAGGCGCGAAAGCGUGGGGAGCAAACAGGAUUAGAUACCCUGUAGUCCNCGCCGUAAACGAUGAAUGCCAGCCGUUGGGGAGCUUGCUCUUCAGUGGCGCAGCUAACGCUUUAAGCAUUCCGCCUGGGGAGUACGGUCGCAAGAUUAAAACUCAAAGAAUUGACGGGGUCAUAGCUGUUUCCU